RNAcentral lists this ribosomal RNA (253 nucleotides) under uncultured bacterium. Its description in RNAcentral is "partial 16S ribosomal RNA". It matches the Rfam family "Bacterial small subunit ribosomal RNA", at positions 524 to 776 of the family's 1533-position model. The record is from RNAcentral.
UACGUAGGGGGCAAGCGUUGUCCGGAUUUAUUGGGCGUAAAGAGCGUGUAGGCGGCCAGAUAGGUCCGUUGUGAAAACUCGAGGCUCAACCUCGAGACGCCGAUGGAAACCAUCUGGCUAGAGUCCGGAAGAGGAGAGUGGAAUUCCCGGUGUAGCGGUGAAAUGCGCAGAUAUCGGGAAGAACACCCGUGGCCAAGGCGGCUCUCUAGUACGGUACUGACGCUGAGACGCGAAAGCGUGGGGAGCGAACAGG